Molecule: ribosomal RNA, 117 nt
Organism: Cavia porcellus (domestic guinea pig)
Lineage: Eukaryota; Metazoa; Chordata; Mammalia; Rodentia; Caviidae
Source: Ensembl
GUUUACAGUCACACUACUCUGAAUGUCCUCAAUCACAUUUGAUCUCAGAAACUAAGAAGGGUUGGGCCUAGUUCAUACUUGGAUGGGAAAAAUCAUGCAAGUAAGAAGAUGAAAUGA